This 466-nucleotide ribosomal RNA is filed under the name uncultured Comamonadaceae bacterium. Its description in RNAcentral is "bacterial SSU rRNA". It matches the Rfam family "Bacterial small subunit ribosomal RNA", at positions 917 to 1381 of the family's 1533-position model. Lineage: Bacteria; Pseudomonadati; Pseudomonadota; Betaproteobacteria; Burkholderiales; Comamonadaceae. The record is from RNAcentral.
UUGACGGGACCGCACAAGCGGUGGAUGAUGUGGUUUAAUUCGAUGCAACGCGAAAAACCUUACCCACCUUUGACAUGUACGGAACUUACCAGAGAUGGUUUGGUGCUCGAAAGAGAGCCGUAACACAGGUGCUGCAUGGCUGUCGUCAGCUCGUGUCGUGAGAUGUUGGGUUAAGUCCCGCAACGAGCGCAACCCUUGUCAUUAGUUGCUACGAAAGGGCACUCUAAUGAGACUGCCGGUGACAAACCGGAGGAAGGUGGGGAUGACGUCAAGUCCUCAUGGCCCUUAUAGGUGGGGCUACACACGUCAUACAAUGGCUGGUACAAAGGGUUGCCAACCCGCGAGGGGGAGCCAAUCCCAUAAAGCCAGUCGUAGUCCGGAUCGCAGUCUGCAACUCGACUGCGUGAAGUCGGAAUCGCUAGUAAUCGUGGAUCAGCAUGUCACGGUGAAUACGUUCCCGGGCCUU